Molecule: long non-coding RNA, 396 nt
Filed under: Homo sapiens (human)
Lineage: Eukaryota; Metazoa; Chordata; Mammalia; Primates; Hominidae
Description: PLCE1 antisense RNA 2
Source: RNAcentral
GUUAGAAAGAGGUUGAGUGCUAGAGAAUCUUAUGGCUGCAAAAUGAGUAAGCAGAGACUUCAACCACUGUCUUCUGACUCACAGCCCAAGGGAAAGACCAGGCAAGAGUAGGGGUGAAGAAAUCUCAUGUAGAAGCCCAGAACUUUCAAGAGAUAAGAAGUAGAGAGAUUCUGGUUUAAAGAGAGAUGACAGAAGCCCUGAAUGUCCUCUCUUCUGCUCCCCCAGAUACCUUCAUGGACUACAGGGCUGUACAUACGGUUAGACUCCUUGACCUCAAUGUGAAUGUCUAAAGACUCCAAGCAUCCUAACUCCAAUUAGAAAUCCAGCAGCAAUGUAUUACCAUGCAGUUGUCUAAAACCUUAAAAAAAAAAGCUAUUUAAAUUGUCCAUCUUUUCA